RNAcentral lists this ribosomal RNA (340 nucleotides) under Salmonella enterica subsp. enterica serovar Kentucky. RNAcentral describes it as "partial 23S ribosomal RNA". It matches the Rfam family "Bacterial large subunit ribosomal RNA", at positions 1417 to 1757 of the family's 2925-position model. Lineage: Bacteria; Pseudomonadati; Pseudomonadota; Gammaproteobacteria; Enterobacterales; Enterobacteriaceae. The record is from RNAcentral.
GAUGGGAAACGGGUUAAUAUUCCCGUACUUGGUGUUACUGCGAAGGGGGGACGGAGAAGGCUAUGUUGGCCGGGCGACGGUUGUCCCGGUUUAAGCGUGUAGGUGUGUGUUCCAGGUAAAUCCGGUUCACUUUAACACUGAGGCGUGAUGACGAGGCACUACGGUGCUGAAGCAACAAAUGCCCUGCUUCCAGGAAAAGCCUCUAAGCAUCAGGUAACAUCAAAUCGUACCCCAAACCGACACAGGUGGUCAGGUAGAGAAUACCAAGGCGCUUGAGAGAACUCGGGUGAAGGAACUAGGCAAAAUGGUGCCGUAACUUCGGGAGAAGGCACGCUGACAC